Molecule: long non-coding RNA, 994 nt
Filed under: Phoenix dactylifera (date palm)
Lineage: Eukaryota; Viridiplantae; Streptophyta; Magnoliopsida; Arecales; Arecaceae
Description: long non-coding RNA (PDAC_LNC015577)
Source: RNAcentral
CUCCCUCUCUCUUUCCUCUCUCUCCUUCUCCCUCUUUUCUGUUUCACCAGAUUUCUCAACCCAAGGGGCGGAACCAUGCCUGACCACUCCUAGUAUGCCUCGGUACGCCCCGAACCAAACAGUUCGAGGCAGUACAGCAUUCCAUGCCCCACGUGGUUCAAUAAUUCAGCAACAAUUGAAAUUAUCCUAUUUUCUUCUUAGAUAGGUUGAGGAAUGUGUGUGAUUCAUAUAUGUUCUAGUGUUGUUAAAAUCAGCCUAUCCACGAUCCAAAUUAAAAAACUAUAAAACAAUAUCGAUCGGGAACUAGAACCAGUUUUGGAAAGGAUCGUCUAAUCCAUUUUUGGGUCAUGCGAUCCAAAAAGUGAGUGAUCCAAUCCACUGGAUCAUGCUUACUGUUUGCUGUCCAUCCAUGAAACAAAGUAGCAUCUCCUUGAUUUCAUGCAUGAACAGUAAAUCGCCCCCCAUCCCCCUUCUCUCCCACCCACCAAAAAAAAUAUCUGGUUCUUUUCAAUUGCAAUUAAUGUUUAUUUAGACUGAUUUUAAGGAUGAUUUAAAGGAUUUUUAACUAAAGUUUUCUCGAUUUGUUUUCCUUUUAAAGAGUUCAAUUUGAAUUCAAAUUCAUGUGUACAUAGGUAAUAAGCUGAAUCCCCUAGUUUCCUUCUAGAAAUAGUGUAGUCUCUAUCAAUAAAGAUCCAUAUCAAUCAAUAUAAGGCAAUUUUCAUUGGCUGUUUAUAUAAUAUUCUAGAGUCCUUAUAAAGAAAAAAAGGCAUACUGAUUUUCACCUUUUAGAAGAGUAUUUGUAUCCAGCUAGCUGCAGAGAAUUGAUUGGGAUUCUUACGAGGAAGAUUACUAAAUAACUUGCUGCAAACCCCUUGUUCAUUUCUCUUCUUUUUUGCUCUUUUACUACUAUUGUCACCAAGGUCCGCCGUACCGGUACCGGUCGGCGUACCGGUGGCGGCCCGGAUCGGUACGAAAUCGAUCUCGUACCGGUCCG